GAUUAACGCUGGCGGCGUGCAUAAAACAUGCAAGUCGAGCGCGGUGCGACUUCGGUCGCAUCUAGCGGCGCACGGGUGAGUAACACGUGAGCAACCUACCUUGGAGUCCGGGAUAGCCCUGAGAAAUCAGGAUUAAUACCGGAUGAUGUCAUCACCAGGCAUCUGGAGAUGAGAAAAGGCGCAAGCCGUUCCAAGACGGGCUCGCGGCCUAUUAGCUAGUUGGUGGGGUAACGGCCUACCAAGGCGGAGAUGGGUAGCUGGUCUGAGAGGACGAUCAGCCACACUGGGACUGAGACACGGCCCAGACCU
RNAcentral lists this ribosomal RNA (309 nucleotides) under uncultured bacterium. RNAcentral's name for it is "bacterial SSU rRNA". It matches the Rfam family "Bacterial small subunit ribosomal RNA", at positions 28 to 338 of the family's 1533-position model. The record is from RNAcentral.